Drosophila sechellia is the source of this 1342-nucleotide long non-coding RNA. RefSeq lists it as uncharacterized. The record is from RefSeq and is a predicted model, not a curated record. NCBI's taxonomy places the organism in Eukaryota, Metazoa, Arthropoda, Insecta, Diptera, Drosophilidae. The transcript has 5 exons.
GGCGACGCGUCUGCGUCGACGUCUGUCAAUGCCAAUCAGUGGCCGGCGCGAUAUGAUGAGUGUAAGAUUCCGAAUCCCGAUUCACGAGUCACGAGUCCCGGUGUGAAUGAUAUUCGAGCCAUUAUACCCAACCCAUCAACUGCCACUCGAAGUCUCCAGCUCCUUGUGCAUUAAAUCAAAGAAGCGUAGCCAGCACGUGCCUGAAAUAUGCAUUAACACACCACCAUCACCAUCGCAAUCAGAUGUGGCAUCAGCAUCCCAUCACCCACUCUAUUUUUUUCUUGAAUAUUCGUGACCCAUGCCACAAACAGAUCACACCAACAUUUGCCUGCGUUUCUGUUUGGAGGAGGGUUGGAGGCACAGCCACCGGGAAUGAAAUCAUUUUUAAUAUUAAUUGCUGCAAUCGAGUGACCAUGACAACAGCGAGAGAGCAACCCUCAAGGAUCCUUUGGACACCAGAACCAGGAACUCCGCACCCAUGAAUGGAAACAGAAAACAGCCAGCAAAGUGGUUGGCUUGGAACAGCAGCAUCUUUCUUCAACCACCCGUGACAAGUCGGUGGCGGAUGUGGCAAUUGAAUUUGGUUUUCGUACUACCAUUCUGGCAACUGUCCGUUAAAUAAAAACCCAGACAAUAUUUGUUUGUCGCUCAAGGGGAGGACCUUUCUGGUCCGGACUGGCCCUGACAGCUAAAUGAACCACUGAGCAUGUUCGAUUUGUGAUUGCCGGCAGAUUAAUGGACUUUGUAAUGCAAUCUGAAAAGGCUCAUCUGAGGAUAGGUAUUCAGAAAAAAGGAUUCUCCAUUUGCUCUAUUUCAAGGAGAAUAGAAAUAAGGAGGCUCUUCAACAAAGUUUCCAUCAUUUUUAAAAAUGCACCGCGGCCCACAUUCAAUUGAAAAUCUCUGGACCAAAAAGGAAACGCAGGACAGAAAAAUGUGGAGAAAAUGUGUAAUGAGAAAUGAGGAGGCCAGAGAGUUUUAUGACAAACAUCCACUCGAGAAAUAAAGUCAGAUUAUAAAAUAAAAUGUACCAAAACGGACUUGCAGCAAAGGCAAGUUACAUGGCCACCAAGCCGAAAGCAAAACAAGGGCAGGACGAACAGGAUGCGGGAGGAGCCAAGGAGCAAAUCAACCGCCCACAAAACAGGACAAACACCAAGCAAACGAAAUGCGAAAGGACACUUAACUGCGACGGACAACAACAAAUAGCGGUUCGUUGGUCGUUAGGAAAUGAGCUAGACCGACGAACGAAGAAAAUAUUUGAGGAAUUACCCCAAAGUGUAUUGCGAAGAAUGCGGAAAGUUAAGGCUAAUUCGGGAGGAAUAUACUUCUACUACUCUUUUAA